AUGCUCACUUUGGUAGCACAUAUACUAAAAUUUGAACAAUACAGAGAAGAUUAGCAUGGCCCCUGCACAAGGAUGACACAAAUUUGUGAAGCAUUGCAUAUUUUU
This 105-nucleotide small nuclear RNA is filed under the name Mus spretus (western wild mouse). Lineage: Eukaryota; Metazoa; Chordata; Mammalia; Rodentia; Muridae. The record is from RNAcentral.